GGAUGUGAGGGUGAUCUGGCUACAACAUCUGUCACCCCACUGAUCUCAGGGUUGAUUUGGCUGCUCUGGCUGGCUAGGCGGGUGGCCCCUUCCUCACUCACGGCUCUAUGUGCCCUCCUCAAAUAGCGCUCUAGGUCAAAGAGGACAGCCUUCUCCAAUAGAGACGGACCAGUCUUUAGUCGAGGGUAUACAAGCAGCUGCAGUCCCCUGCUAGAACCUCCAAACAAGCUCUCAAGACAUUAGUUACUGUAGCCUCAUAUUGUUCAUGAAAUAUGUGCCCCAUAUGAAGAAAAUAUGUGAACAUCUAUUUUCUUUA
This is an unclassified non-coding RNA of Erinaceus europaeus (western European hedgehog), 316 nucleotides long. Its record names the gene 7SK. It matches the Rfam family "7SK RNA". From Rfam's summary of the family: 7SK was discovered as an abundant small nuclear RNA in the mid-70s but a possible function has only recently been suggested. Two independent studies have found that 7SK RNA binds the CDK9/cyclin T complex (known as elongation factor P-TEFb). The record is from Ensembl. NCBI's taxonomy places the organism in Eukaryota, Metazoa, Chordata, Mammalia, Eulipotyphla, Erinaceidae.